AUUGAUUGAUCGUUGUUAUAAGGAGAGGGUCGUAAAUUGUUAGUAGGUUUUUUUGGUUAGAAGAUGAUGUAAUAUUUUUAAGAUUUUUGUAUAUAUUUGUGUGAAGUAUUUGAUUUUAAUAAAAGUUAGGAUUGUUGUUUUUAUGUGAUUUUUGUAUAAUAUUUUAGUGUAUAAAAAUAGAUUUUGGAAAAUAAAGAAUUGGGAUUAGUUUUUCGAAAUAUU
Molecule: unclassified non-coding RNA, 222 nt
Filed under: Hevea brasiliensis (rubber tree)
Lineage: Eukaryota; Viridiplantae; Streptophyta; Magnoliopsida; Malpighiales; Euphorbiaceae
Source: RNAcentral